GCCCUUGGAAGGUUUCCUAUUGAAUAGGGAGAUACCUUUCUGGAGUUCAAUUUUAUAAGCCCGACGCUGUUCAAGGCUGGCAGUGUCUGACAUUUCAGAGUUUGAUUCUGCAUGUAAAUCAUAAUCAGGGCUACUUGCAUCUUCCCCACUUGGGUUUGAAUAAUUCUCUGUUGAAGCAUCACUCUCCAGGCUCUUAGGCACAUAAGACUCUCCUAUUCUGAAUUGUUGAUCCAUCCAAGCACCCAUUGAUCUGAUGAUGCCAACCAAGC
RNAcentral lists this unclassified non-coding RNA (269 nucleotides) under Hevea brasiliensis (rubber tree). Lineage: Eukaryota; Viridiplantae; Streptophyta; Magnoliopsida; Malpighiales; Euphorbiaceae. The record is from RNAcentral.